RNAcentral lists this ribosomal RNA (727 nucleotides) under uncultured bacterium. RNAcentral's name for it is "bacterial SSU rRNA". It matches the Rfam family "Bacterial small subunit ribosomal RNA", at positions 47 to 763 of the family's 1533-position model. The record is from RNAcentral.
CCUAACACAUGCAAGUCGAACGGUAACAGGAAGCAGCUUGCUGCUUCGCUGACGAGUGGCGGACGGGUGAGUAAUGUCUGGGAAGCUGCCUGAUGGAGGGGGAUAACUACUGGAAACGGUAGCUAAUACCGCAUAAUGUCGCAAGACCAAAGAGGGGGACCUUCGGGCCUCUUGCCAUCGGAUGUGCCCAGAUGGGAUUAGCUAGUAGGUGGGGUAACGGCUCACCUAGGCGACGAUCCCUAGCUGGUCUGAGAGGAUGACCAGCCACACUGGAACUGAGACACGGUCCAGACUCCUACGGGAGGCAGCAGUGGGGAAUAUUGCACAAUGGGCGCAAGCCUGAUGCAGCCAUGCCGCGUGUAUGAAGAAGGCCUUCGGGUUGUAAAGUACUUUCAGCGGGGAGGAAGGGAGUAAAGUUAAUACCUUUGCUCAUUGACGUUACCCGCAGAAGAAGCACCGGCUAACUCCGUGCCAGCAGCCGCGGUAAUACGGAGGGUGCAAGCGUUAAUCGGAAUUACUGGGCGUAAAGCGCACGCAGGCGGUUUGUUAAGUCAGAUGUGAAAUCCCCGGGCUCAACCUGGGAACUGCAUCUGAUACUGGCAAGCUUGAGUCUCGUAGAGGGGGGUAGAAUUCCAGGUGUAGCGGUGAAAUGCGUAGAGAUCUGGAGGAAUACCGGUGGCGAAGGCGGCCCCCUGGACGAAGACUGACGCUCACGUGCGAAAGCGUG